Molecule: ribosomal RNA, 497 nt
Filed under: uncultured bacterium
Lineage: Bacteria
Description: partial 16S ribosomal RNA
Rfam family: Bacterial small subunit ribosomal RNA
Source: RNAcentral
GACGAACGCUGGCGGCGUGCCUAAUACAUGCAAGUUGAGCGAUGAAGAUUGGUGCUUGCACCAAUUUGAAGAGCAGCGAACGGGUGAGUAACGCGUGGGGAAUCUGCCUUUGAGCGGGGGACAACAUUUGGAAACGAAUGCUAAUACCGCAUAACAACUUUAAACAUAAGUUUUAAGUUUGAAAGAUGCAAUUGCAUCACUCAAAGAUGAUCCCGCGUUGUAUUAGCUAGUUGGUGAGGUAAAGGAUCACCAAGGCGAUGAUACAUAGCCGACCUGAGAGGGUGAUCGGCCACAUUGGGACUGAGACACGGCCCAAACUCCUACGGGAGGCAGCAGUAGGGAAUCUUCGGCAAUGGACGAAAGUCUGACCGAGCAACGCCGCGUGAGUGAAGAAGGUUUUCGGAUCGUAAAACUCUGUUGGUAGAGAAGAACGUUGGUGAGAGUGGAAAGCUCAUCAAGUGACGGUAACUACCCAGAAAGGGACGGCUAACUACGUG